RNAcentral lists this ribosomal RNA (301 nucleotides) under uncultured bacterium. RNAcentral's name for it is "partial 16S ribosomal RNA". It matches the Rfam family "Bacterial small subunit ribosomal RNA", at positions 509 to 807 of the family's 1533-position model. The record is from RNAcentral.
CAGCAGCCACGGGAACACGUAGGGUGCAAGCGUUAAUCGGAAUUACUGGGCGUAAAGCGUGCGCAGGCGGUUAUAUAAGUCAGAUGUGAAAUCCCCGGGCUCAACCCGGGAACUGCAUUUGAGACUGUAUGGCUAGAGUGUGUCAGAGGAGGGUAGAAUUCCACGUGUAGCAGUGAAAUGCGUAGAUAUGUGGAGGAAUACCGAUGGCGAAGGCAGCCCCCUGGGAUAACACUGACGCUCAUGCACGAAAGCGUGGGGAGCAAACAGGAUUAGAUACCCCUGUAGUCCCUGUCUCUUAUAC